RNAcentral lists this non-coding RNA (24 nucleotides) under Gossypium hirsutum (cotton). Lineage: Eukaryota; Viridiplantae; Streptophyta; Magnoliopsida; Malvales; Malvaceae. The record is from RNAcentral.
GAAGCCAGAGCGAUUCUUGAAGGA